CCUACGGGUGCCAGCAGUGGGGAAUAUUGCACAAUGGGGGAAACCCUGAUGCAGCGACGCCGCGUGAGUGAAGAAGUAUUUCGGUAUGUAAAGCUCUAUCAGCAGGGAAGAAAAUGACGGUACCUGAUUAAGAAGCCCCGGCUAACUACGUGCCAGCAGCCGCGGUAAUACGUAGGGGGCAAGCGUUAUCCGGAUUUACUGGGUGUAAAGGGAGCGUAGACGGCAGCACAAGUCUGGAGUGAAAUGCCGGGGCUUAACCAAGGAACUGCUUUGGAAAAUGUGCAGCUAGAGUGCAGGAGAGGUAAGUGGAAUUAAUAGUGUAGAGGUGAAAUGAGUAGAUAUUAGGAGGAAAAAAAGUGGAGAAGGCGGAUUAAUGGAAUGUAAAUGAAGUUGAGGCUAGAAAGAGUGGGGAGAAAACAGGAUUAGAUACCCAUGUAGUC
RNAcentral lists this ribosomal RNA (440 nucleotides) under uncultured bacterium. RNAcentral describes it as "partial 16S ribosomal RNA". It matches the Rfam family "Bacterial small subunit ribosomal RNA", at positions 338 to 795 of the family's 1533-position model. The record is from RNAcentral.